RNAcentral lists this ribosomal RNA (477 nucleotides) under uncultured bacterium. RNAcentral's name for it is "bacterial SSU rRNA". It matches the Rfam family "Bacterial small subunit ribosomal RNA", at positions 32 to 482 of the family's 1533-position model. The record is from RNAcentral.
AAUCAACGCUGGCGGCGUGCCUCAGACAUGCAAGUCGAACGCGAAAGUUCCCUUCGGGGAGCAAGUAGAGUGGCGCACGGGUGAGUAACACGUAGGUAAUCUACCUUUGGAUGGGGAAUAACAAUCGGAAACGGUUGCUAAUACCGCAUAAUGCAGCGGCACCUAAUGGUGACAGUUGUUAAAGCGGGGGAUCGAAAGACCUCGCGUCUAAAGAGGAGCCUGCGGCGGAUUAGCCAGUUGGUAAGGUAACGGCUUACCAAGGCGAUGAUCCGUAGCCGGCCUGAGAGGGCGGUCGGCCACACUGACACUGACAUACGGGUCAGACUCCUACGGGAGGCAGCAGUCGGGAAUUUUGGGCAAUGGGCGAAAGCCUGACCCAGCAACGCCGCGUGAAGGAUGAAAUCCCUCGGGAUGUAAACUUCGCAAGAUCGGGAAGAAUAAGUUGGCGCGAACAUCAACAGCGAUGACGGUACCGUU